AUGAACGCUGGCGGCGUGCUUAACACAUGCAAGUCGAACGAGGUCCAACCUUCGGGUGAAGACCGAGUGGCGAACGGGUGAGUAACACGUGGGGAACCUGCCCUUCUCUCUGGGAUAACUCCGGGAAACCGGAGCUAAUACCGGAUACUCCUUGCGGAUCGCAUGGUCUGCUCGGGAAAGCUCUGGCGGAGAAGGAUGGCCCCGCGGCCCAUUAGCUUGUUGGUAGGGUAACGGCCUACCAAGGCGACGAUGGGUAGCCGAGCUGAGAGGCUGAUCGGCCACACUGGGACUGAGACACGGCCCAGACUCCUACGGGAGGCAGCAGUGGGGAAUCUUGCGCAAUGGGCGAAAGCCUGACGCAGCAACGCCGCGUGCGGGAUGAAGGCCCUCGGGUCGUAAACCGCUUUCAGCAGGGAUGAAGAUGACAGUACCUGCAGAAGAAGCCCCGGCUAAAUACGU
This 459-nucleotide ribosomal RNA is filed under the name uncultured bacterium. Its description in RNAcentral is "bacterial SSU rRNA". It matches the Rfam family "Bacterial small subunit ribosomal RNA", at positions 29 to 506 of the family's 1533-position model. The record is from RNAcentral.